Molecule: long non-coding RNA, 1084 nt
Organism: Leopardus geoffroyi (Geoffroy's cat)
Lineage: Eukaryota; Metazoa; Chordata; Mammalia; Carnivora; Felidae
Exons: 3
Source: RefSeq, a predicted model, not a curated record
AUGAUUAAUUCAAUGCGUUUUUCCUACCCGCCCGGCACCUGGCCUCAAAGAAUUCUCUUCUUCCAGAAGUUUAAGGAAGAAAACACGAGGUCAUCGAUUUACCUUCUCCACCAUACCAAAUAAAUAUGUACUUCCCAGCCUUUUUUUUACUCCUUCUCGCGCACUCGUUGAAAAGAUCGUGAUGGAAACAGGGCUGAGGGCCCCGAGCUUAUCCUAGGCUCUGCCCUUACUUAGCUGUAUUGCUUGGGUAGAAUUGCUCUGGGUUUCAGCAUCUCGGUCUGUGGCACAAGGGGUGAGGUAGGAUGAUAUCGAAGAUUCCUUCCAAACCUAAGAAUCUGACAUCCCCCUUGAAGUGAACUCUCCUCUCGACUGGGACAAAUACCUUAAUCAGGGAAACAUAGAAAUGCCUUAUUGACCGAAUAAAAUAUUUUGAGGCCUGUAAGUACAAUCCAGAUCAAAAUGGCUGAUGGCGCAUGUGUAUUUGUCUACCCUACCUCCCAAGUUCCUAUCGCGAUGUCGACAAAGACAUUUAAAGGAUGGAUAUGUCCAUUAGAAUGCUGGACACGAAUAGGAUGUCAUCAGCAGAAAUUUCAGGGAUUUGGAGAAACGUCUGGGAGCCAGGAAGCAGGCAGGACCAUAGCAGGGUAUCAGAGGAGAGGGGUACACAAGGCAAAACACGCAAGUGAAAAGAUGCGAUGGUGAUCCCCACCUACAGAGGCUCCAAGUUUGCGGCCAGCGGUGAAUGUUCUUUCUCCAAAUUAAACCAAAUUGGAAACUACAAAAGGAAAACUUUCGGAAAAUACCAUUUAACAGAAUUAACUUCAGUCAGCAGAUACGUUCUGGCAGCAGAAAUGUUGGAAAUGCAACAGACAAGUUGUGCGGAUCACGGUAGAAACCACAUCAACUUUGUAAAAGGAGGAUGUGUUUCUUUGGACCGAACGGUUUUUAUUUAUUGUGUGAUCACAUCCUGUUCUGGACUUUUAAGGUUUUAAGGAUAUUUAAUGUUAGAUGUGUUUUUUUAUUUAUUUUUAUUUUAUUUUAUUUUUUAAGUUUCUUUAUUUCUGAGAGAGAGAGAGAGAGAGAG